UACGUAGGGGGCGAGCGUUGUCCGGAGUUACUGGGCGUAAAGGGCACGCAGGCGGUGCGGCGCGUUUCGCGUGACAGCGGAGGGCUUAACUCUCCGAGGAUGCGAAAGACGACGGCACUUGGGGGCCAGAGAGGGACACGGAAUUCCGGGUGGAGUGGUGAAAUGCGUAGAGAUCCGGAGGAACACCGAAGGCGAAGGCAGUGUCCUGGCUGGUGACUGACGCUGAGGUGCGAAAGCUAGGGGAGCGAACGGG
Molecule: ribosomal RNA, 253 nt
Filed under: uncultured bacterium
Lineage: Bacteria
Description: partial 16S ribosomal RNA
Rfam family: Bacterial small subunit ribosomal RNA
Source: RNAcentral